AUGGAAGAAGGUGCUGUGAGUCAAGGACUGUGGGUAGCUUCUGGGAGUUGGAAACGGCCCCCAGCUGAUAGCCAGCAGAGAAACGUGACUGUAGUCAGUCCUACCCUUCCCUGCAAGGGGCUGAAUUCUGCCAAUUCUGUCAGUGAGCAAGCAAGUGGAUCCAUCCGCCCCAGUGCCGCCAGAAAGGAAUCCAGCCCUGCCCGAACCUCAGUUUUAGCCGAGGAAGACCGUCGUCUGAUUUCUGAUCUAUGGCAAACACCUUAAGGGAGUGAUUUUUAACCUGAGAGCAAUUCACCCCCACGGGGCAUUUGGCAAUGUCUGCAGGUAAGUUCAAUUGUCACAUCUUGGGGUGGGAGUGGGGUGAGAGAAGGUGCUCCUGGCAUCUAGUGGCUAGGGGCUGGAGAUGCUGCUGAACAUCCCACAAUGCACAGGACAGCCUCACAAAUAAGAAGGAUCCUGCCUUGAAGGUCAAUGGUGCCGAGGUUGAGAAACUGCCUUAAGUGUAGUGUCUGUUCCUCCUGCUCAUUUCUAAAUCUCUUGGUUGCUUCAUGAUACAUAAUAAGUGGUCAAUUAAACGCCAGUUGGCUGCCUGACUCAGGUCAGGCAUGUUGGCUUUUCCCCACGUCCCUGCUGAGUUCAGGUCUAACACACUGUUGCUUUGCUCUGAGUGUACCAUAUGGCCCCACAAUAAAUGAGUGAGUCAAUAAAGAGCCUGCAGUAUUUUAAGUGAUCUUAUGAAUGAAAUCCAGAGCAGGGACACAAGUAUUUCAUCUGAAGAAAGAGACUAAUUAAACACAAGAUUGCAGUAAGUACAUUUGUUAGGAGAACCAGAGGCAUUCUGCUGUGGGAAGACUCAUUGCUCAUUCCUAGAGUAGGAUAAUAGGGAGGGAGUCUUAAUCAUGCUUUUAACGAUCAAAGGUAUUCUUAAGAUCAAUCCUUUCAUUAACUGGGUGAAGAGCGAUACUGACCUAGUGGGACAUUUCAGGCGGCGUAAAUUAAUUAUGAACUGCUGCAUGAGAUCUGCUGGGUAUUGAGUUCACAGGCCUUUGCAGGAAAAGGCCAAAGGAAAUUCAGUUAAUGCUCUUCGGAGCGGAUGUUAAGGAAGGAAAGCUGGGGCAUGCUGAACUAAGCCUCCAUAUCACCCUUUCAGUGCUUGGGAAGGAGACCAUGGAGUGUGCUUGACUUUAUCUGGCCACCACUGUGUCUGGUGAGAUGGUGUCCAGGAUGUCCAGGAUCGUUUAGCUAUGUCCAGGAUAGGUUGACAAACUUACAGUGACCAACCAUCCAGGUUGGCCUCUCCUGUUGUAGUACUAAAAAUCCUACGUCCUGGGAAAUCCCUUCCUGGGAUGUGAAAAGUCCCAAUUUUCAGUGAAGGGUAGGGUGUACACAGUUGUGGGGGAAAGUGCAAAACCCAUUCUACAGCCCAAAAUAUAGGACCGAGUGCAGCACUAAUUGUUAAGUGGAUAUCACAUAGGUCAUUUGCCUUCUAUAGCGGCAGUUGCUGUUUUUAACCCUGACUGUUGAUGUUGGGCGGGAUUUUGAAGGUGCCCUUUGUUACCCUUAUUUCUAUAUCUAGCCUGAAAUGAGUAUGAGCAAGGCAUGGCUUCUGGAGUCAGGUAUCUCCCCUCGGAUCUUAAUAACCUCAAUUUAAAUCAGGUGUCCCCUAUGAGCUUGUAUUAGCCAUGCGGCUUGGGGAAAGCCGUCUCACCUCUCUGAGACUUGUUUUCCCAUCUAUAAGGUAGAGAUAAUAAGAGCACCCCUAGAGGUUUGUAAUGAGGCGCAAAUGAGACAAUGCUGUAAAAUGCCUAUGGAAGGGCUUGGUUCAGAGGAACAAAUCAAUACAUGUUACUGUCGUUAAUAAAUAAUGUCACAGCUCUGAUGAUUACCAUCGUUGUUGGUGUGGGUGGCCCAGUGGGUGUGACCAGGCUGGAUGGGACAGCACAGGGCUGUGCUCUGAGCAGCUUUCCUGCAAGCACUGUGAUUGCACAGGGAUGACAGGGACUUCCCUUGCACAUGGCAGAGAGACAUGGUGGGAUUGUCUUGGAGCCUGUUCUCUGGCGGGCCUGGACUCCAGUCAUCUGGGCAGGGUCUUGGGAGUGGUGAUGGGAGGUGGAAAGGAGACCAGUUGAGGCUUCAAAAAGUUGUUUAGAAAUGCAGGUGCUUCACCUGCCUUUCUUCCUAGAGGGCUCGUUUCUAUGCAGGAUGGCGUCAGAUGGGAGAAGUGGACUGUGUGGACCCCUAAACAUUUAGGGGACUAUCUUCUGGUGGGCCAUGCUCCCAUCAGUGAGGCACUCAAUAGGUUUGUGGGGCCUGGAGGUCUCGGAGAACACAGGCUCCACACAGCCCAGUUCCGGCCCUCUCUGUCCUUGACAAGCCCUUCCAAGUUCCUCCCCUGCAACUCCCCAACCCCCUUCUGGAUGGGGUCAGCCAGGUCCCUGUGACCAUUUCUUUACAUUUUCAUGAGCUUUCACACCCCCUCAUUAAAAUAUUAUUAACAUAGGAAGAGGUGCCUAGGGCAGUUUUGUCUUAGUCAAAGCUUUCUUAUUUUUAAACAAAACAAAACAAACAAACAAAAAAACCCCACAAUUUUGGCCAGGUGCAGUGGCUCACAUCUGUAAUUUCAGUACUUUAGGAGGCUGAGGUAGGCAGAUUACCUGAGGUCAGGGGUUCAAGACCAGUUUGGCCAACAUGGUGAAACCCUGUCUCUACUAAAAAUACAAAAAUUAGCUGGGUAUGGUGGCGCAUGCCUGUAAUCCCAGCUACUCAGGAGGCUGAGGCAUGGGAAUUGCUUCAACUUGAGAGGCGAAGGUUGCAGUGAGUCGAGAUCGCGCCAUUGCACUCUAGCCUGGGCAACAAGAGUGAAACUCCACCUCAGAAAAAAAGAAAAAAAGAGAGAAGCAUGAACUCUGCUCAGCUGGCUUCUGCCAACAUAAAUGUCUUCUUACAGGGCUGAACCAGAGCCUGGGAGGAGAGCAAAAGCUUCAUCUUCCUGGGCUCAAGUGAUCCCCCUGCCUCAGCCUCCUGAGCUGUCAAGUAGUUGGAACUGGUUUGCCCUUGUAAGGUUGAGGAAGUUCCUUGUAUUUCUAGGGAUUUUGUUUUUUUUUUUUUUUUAAUUAAGAAUGGCUGUUAUAUUUUCUUCUUUUCUUUUUUCUUGAAGUAUCUGGCACAGAGAAGGAUAUUUGAUUUUGUCAGCUACUUUUUCUGAGUCUAGUGAGGUAAUCAUGGUUUUUCAAUUUUUACUUUAUUAAUAUGAUGAACUAUAUUGACUGAUUUUUGAACAUUAAGCCAAUCUUGGAUAUUAAGCCAAUUUCUAGGAUAAAUCCCCCUUGAUCAGGAUGCAUAUCCUCGUUACAUGUUGUUGGAAUUAUUGGUUAUGUUUUGUUGAGGAUAUUCAUGUCUAUGUUCAUGAGGGCUGUUGCUCUGUAGUAUAUUUUCUUGUCAUGUCUGUUAGGGUUUGGUAUCAGGACAGUGCUGGCCUCAGAAAUGGAGUUUAGAAGUGUUUUCCCUGCUGUAAUU
This 3516-nucleotide long non-coding RNA is filed under the name Callithrix jacchus (white-tufted-ear marmoset). RNAcentral's name for it is "lncRNA (ENSCJAG00000074451.1)". The record is from RNAcentral. Lineage: Eukaryota; Metazoa; Chordata; Mammalia; Primates; Cebidae.